This is a long non-coding RNA of Polyodon spathula (Mississippi paddlefish), 2225 nucleotides long. RefSeq lists it as uncharacterized. The record is from RefSeq and is a predicted model, not a curated record. NCBI's taxonomy places the organism in Eukaryota, Metazoa, Chordata, Actinopteri, Acipenseriformes, Polyodontidae. The transcript has 4 exons.
UUGUUUUUUUCUUCUCUCUCUUGAACAUUGGACUGACUUUCUAGAAGGAAAAUUGUCCAUUGCACGCUGGCAGUCCCGGUGCAAAAAAAAAGCACCUCCAAGAAAUAAAACCGUGGCAAAAAAUUCAAAGAUGUUUAGAUUCUUCGCUCAGUCUGUCGCUGUAUUUCUCUUAGUUUUUGUUAUUUUAACAAACUGGGUAGUGGUAAAAAGUGCUGAAGUCGUAAACGGAGCGUACCGGAGAAUUUGUAAAUAAUGUUAAAACAUUAUUUCAAAAAACGCAGUCUGAGACACUAAGUUGUGCGUGUGUGUAUUGUACAGUAUGUGUUUAAAUAGGCUUACUGUGUGGUAUGCUUUUAUUCUGAUUUACUGUGUACGGAAUUAUCUAGAAGUUACGGUAACUCGAAUUGUGAUUGAUAACUAAUAUUUUAAUAACGUGUAUUGAAAAGGAAAUCUGUUUUUUGUUUACAUCUACUACAGUGGUUACAUUUUGAUAGCAUUUGACAGUGUUAUUGUAUAUUAUUAUUAUAGUGCGUCAUCUUUCAGCUAACAGAGAGAGUAUUGUAUUUAAAUAUACGUGUCCUUAUUUAAAUAAGAUGCAACGACAAAGCUAGAAACAUACUUGGAAUACAUAUUUAUUUUGAGAAACAGUAUUUAUUUUAUGUUGCGGAUACGGAAAACCCUUAGACCACUGUUUGGACACAUUGAUGAUAUUCAGCGUGCAGUCAAGUCAUUGUUGUCCUUUUUGUGACUGUCAUUCUGGCCCCUCAACUCUACGUCCUAUUAAGGAUUCACAACGGUCCUAACCCUGGUAGACCCGGUUCCUCAGGAGGUGAAGGCAGGGUUUCAUGUGUUCGAAGUGGCUUCCUUCGCUGUAGGACUGUGCACUACUGUACUCACUGCCAGGGAACCUCAGUGUCAUUUUUCCUGAUCAUGGGGGCUUGCUGGAUUGCUAACAAGCUCUCCCCUGGACUGGUGCUCGAUAAGCGCUCUCAAACUGGUUUCUGCUACCAGCCAGUCAGCUGCUGCUCCUGCCUGUGGCACGUCUAAAUCAAACACGGAGAGCCCCAUAAAUAAUGGAAGCCAUUUCUAUGGCAACCCCGGCAACCAGAGAAACUGGAAAUAUCUACAGUGAAGCCAAGUGCCUGUACAACCCACAGCAGAACUGAUAAGAAAGACGUGUCUGUUUAUUCAUAUACUGUGUCAGAGACCCAGUGUAUUAAUUAUUAAGAGACCCUGCACUCUCAUCUGUGUUUUUCCCCCCAUCAUUGCUUCAAUAUAAACUGCAGAGACAGUUUAAGAUCAGGUGCUUGAAAAAGCCUUGGACACUGAUGAGUUGUUUUUUCUGCAUUAUCUUCUGUUACCGUAACUGCCUUUUGACCAUUUUACAGAAACGAGGUCAGUGUUUUAACUGCAGCCACAGAAUGUGCCUUUGUAAAUCCUUCCUAAUUGAAGUGAACCCCAGAAUACCUUGUUUAGCAAAGAAUGUGGGAGUGUUACCUUUUCAUGAAGCCACCCGUUCCCUUGAGAGAGAGAGUUUGGUACUGUGCUGUAAAUACAGAUAACCAUUAAUUGCUGUUAUUUGCUUUUAAAAUCAGGUUGUUACUUAAUUUUAUUUUUACAUUAAAAACAAUGUUUCCAGCAAAUUGCAAAGUAUUAAUAGAGUUGUUUCAACAACCCUUUCUUUGCCAUCUCAAAGGGAUUCCCACGCAUCAGAUUGCACUGCAAUUUGUUUUCUGGGCUUACAUUUUCAGGCUAAAUGAUAAAGAAUAAAACUGGGGUAUGGUUGACUUUAUCCUUAAGUAAAUGCUGCUGAUUAUCUUUUAAUCUGGAGUCCAAUUACUCUUGUUCAUUCACUGGACAAUGAGGAAAUUUAUCAGUUUAAAGUGAUGUAGGUACGACAUCAAAGAUGAUUGAGAAAUGUUUACUUAUUAAUACAGUAAGAAAUGUGUCUAAUGUGUCACUUUUGUUCUCUUUAACGUACCCAAUUAAUAGACAUACCUGUUUCACUCAUCACCAUCAGAGAUUGAAGGGGUACAAAAAUAAGUUUUUUUUUUUUUUAUAUAUAUAUUGUAUUUCAUCUAUAACUUUAAACAUUCAUAAAGUCUAAAUAAAACUGAACUUUUUAAUCCAGUAGAGAAACAGCAAGAAAGCUGAAACACUUGACUAAGUGACUGUGUCUUUGUACCUAAAAUCGUUUUCCAUUUUAAUAAAUGUAUUUUACCGAA